RNAcentral lists this ribosomal RNA (253 nucleotides) under uncultured bacterium. RNAcentral describes it as "partial 16S ribosomal RNA". It matches the Rfam family "Bacterial small subunit ribosomal RNA", at positions 524 to 776 of the family's 1533-position model. The record is from RNAcentral.
GACGUAGGGCGCGAGCGUUGUCCGGAUUUAUUGGGCGUAAAGAGCUCGUAGGUGGCCUGUCGCGUCGGCUGUGAAAACUCGGGGCUCAACUCCGAGCUUGCAGUCGAUACGGGCAGACUAGAGGUAGGUAGGGGAGAAUGGAAUUCCCGGUGUAGCGGUGAAAUGCGCAGAUAUCGGGAGGAACACCGGUGGCGAAGGCGGUUCUCUGGGCCUUACCUGACGCUGAGGAGCGAAAGCGUGGGGAGCGAACAGG